Molecule: long non-coding RNA, 1120 nt
Organism: Engraulis encrasicolus (European anchovy)
Lineage: Eukaryota; Metazoa; Chordata; Actinopteri; Clupeiformes; Engraulidae
Exons: 7
Source: RefSeq, a predicted model, not a curated record
GCAGUUUGCAGCUGGUUUGAUUCAUGUCGUGGGUCACUUACCAAUGUAUGUAGGCCUAAUUGGCUAUGACCUUUGAAAUAGUUGAAAGUAAAUCCCAGUAGUAUCUAGUGAAACACACAUGCAAACGCCCUUCUGUCCCUCAUUCCCUCAAACUCGAUCUUCUACAUUUGUUGUGUAAAAAGGACAUAGCAAGUUUUUUAUAUCAAUGAUCACUUUAGGAUAUUCCAGUGCAUUUACAUUCAAUAUAUACUGUACCUUGAGUGAGGUAGAAAUGCAUAUUGUUGCAAAUAUAAAUACUGUUAAUUUGUUAUUUUUUGUAAUUAAUCAUUUACUGAAUUUCUUUGUAGAAUAUGUUACUAUUAUUUGGGUUUUUGUUCUCUGCAUAACUGUCUCUUUCACCUAUAUUAAUUCCUCAGCAUUCAAGAUGUUUGUAGGGUCCUCACCUCAGCUACCUCUCACAAGGUGCCCCUGAAAAAGAAAUUCAAGACGUUUGGGUCCUCAGCUCAACUGACCAAGACCUUUGCUCAUUGAAGGCAUGAAGUAAUUUGUGAUGCCCCCACGAUUGCAGUUUUUAAAUCCAGAUGGCUUGCUCUUUUUAACAUGUGCGAGAGCUGGAUGGUCUUUCAACAACACUGCUCCGGGUCUUCAGCAAGAAAGGUGCUUCUCAUGCAAGGAAGAUACAGAGGAUCCUGGUGCCCAUGACUCAGAAAUUCAAGACGUUUGGGUCCUCAGCUCAACUGACCAAGACCUUUGCUCAUUGAAGGCAUGAAGUAAUUUGUGAUGCCCCCACGAUUGCAGUUUUUAAAUCCAGAUGGCUUGCUCUUUUUAACAUGUGCGAGAGCUGGAUGGUCUUUCAACAACACUGCUCCGGGUCUUCAGCAAGAAAGGUGCUUCUCAUGCAAGGAAGAUACAGAGGAUCCUGGUGCCCAUGACUCAGACUGACAACAUUGAUGUGAAGAGGGAGUGCAUGCUGAGGAGCUGACGGUCUACCUGAAUGAAGAGCCAGACAAAGUGGAUGUUGAUCUGGACGGUCCAGCUGAAACGUAUUGUCUUCGUGUGCGUGUGAUCGGCAGAGAGUCCUCAACGACAUUGGUAACGUACCUGUGGCCAUUGCAGUGUU